GAGAGGUAAAGGAAGAAAAGCUAACCCCUUUCCUAAGAAUACAUACUUUUUCCAGGGGAGGUCCAGACCAUGUGGCAAGAACCUCUAAAUUUUUUACCAAAUGGAGGAAGCACUACAAGAUGCCCCAACCCUGAAAAGAAGAACAAACCAAAACCAAAACCAUAAAAACUACCAAAACCAAACAAUAGAAAUUCCUUUCUGUGUGCCUCUAAGCACACAAGGAAGAUACUGCCUUUGGGAAAGAGGGGAUUGCAAACUUCGGUUCAAACAACCCAUCCUAUUCGCCAAAAUAUAUGGCAAACCUCCUUCCAGCGCUGAAAUCUGUAUGGUUGCAGGGAGGAAGGGUGGUGGGGGGAAGGCAGAGUCCUUGAUCCCCAAACAGAUGUCCAGGGAGGAGAGGCCAGAGAGCCUCCUCUGCGCAGUGAUUUAUUUUAUUUUUUAGAUCUAUAUGCUUUGGCCACAUUUAUUUAUUUCCAAAGGGCUAUUUUUGGUGUCUGCCCUGGCUCCUUUGUAGCAAAGCCCCCUUUUCUAGAAUUUCCUCUCCUUUAUUAGAGUUACAGCUCAGCUUUGUGCAGCCCCGGGGGAGCCGGCCAGCCGCUGGCAAUUUCUCUCAGACACCCAAUUACCCCCUGACGUCAGUACCUCCUCGCCCCGCUCCCCUGGGUGCCUGCGUUUUUUCCUUUGUAACACUAAUAGCUGACUAGCUAAGUGCCUGUCGGUUCCUUGGCAGAGGAGUUGAUUGUGUUUUCGGCUGGAUACUAAAUCCAAAAACUAUGUAAAAAUGUCAAUAGAAGGCUGGAGUUUUAAUGAUGCCGGCGGCGAGGCUGGGCGGCGCGGCCCGCACCUUGGCUGCGGGGCUGGGGUACCCUGGCUGGUAAUGAACUCCCAGAGGAUUCUGGGAGCAGGGCGGCUGUGUUCCCAGCCGGCUUCCUGGGGAAUGUGGAGCCGGCGCCGGGCCCGCCGCUUGCCAGGCCGAGGUACUGCUUUCAGCCAGCCUUUUGUUGUGCACACGCUGGGACACACCUGCUUUCAAGAGACACGCGUGAACGUACAACUCCGGCACUCACACCCACUCCGCUGCCUGGCCCCAGUUUGCUGGUUCCUAAUCGGGUCCCGCUGUGCCCCAGGGAGCUCCUGUGUUGGCUCCAGGAUCUUCAGCAAAUAAAACACUCCAAAAAAUUUCCCUGGAGUCUUCUGAAAUUAAAAUCAGUGCGGAGUAAAACUGUGUGUCAGUCCAGUGUGCGAGGUGCAGGCCUCCAAAUAGCUGGAAAUUGUGUAAGGGAAGCAAUCAGAAGCAGCCUUCCAGGUGAUGCUACCUGGUGCUUGGCAUAUAUGCAAGGGUCCUACCUAGUAGGUAAUUAUUAUUGAGUAAAGGAAUCUGUAAGGUGAUGCCAUAAGCUACAGGGACUUUUGUCCCUUUCCCACAUCUUUUCUGGCCUUUCCUCUUUC
Molecule: long non-coding RNA, 1449 nt
Organism: Manis pentadactyla (Chinese pangolin)
Lineage: Eukaryota; Metazoa; Chordata; Mammalia; Pholidota; Manidae
Exons: 3
Source: RefSeq, a predicted model, not a curated record